AGCAGCCGCGGUAAUUCCAGCUCCAAUAGCGUAUAUUAAAGUUGUUGCAGUUAAAAAGCUCGUAGUUGAAUUUCGGGAUCAAUAUGUUGGUCGUGCCUUGGUACGUACUGGCAUUAUUGGUUUCUACCUUCUGAAGAACCUCGAUGUCAUUAAUUUGGUGUCUUGGGGAAUCAGGACUGUUACUUUGAAAAAAUUAGAGUGUUUAAAGCAGGCUCGCGCUUGAAUACAUUAGCAUGGAAUAAUGAAAUAGGACGUUUGAUUCUAUUUUGUUGGUUUCUAGGAUCGACGUAAUGAUUAAUAGGGAUAGUUGGGGGCAUUAGUAUUCAAUUGUCAGAGGUGAAAUUCUUGGAUUUAUUGAAGACUAACUACUGCGAAAGCAUUUGCCAAGGAUGUUUUCAUUAAUCAAGAACGAAAGUUAGGGGAUCGAAGACGAUCAGAUACCGUCGUAGUCUUAACCAUAAACUAUGCCGACUAGGGAUCGGAUGAUGUUAAUUUUAAUGACUCAUUCGGCGCCUUAAC
Molecule: unclassified non-coding RNA, 519 nt
Filed under: uncultured Glomus
Lineage: Eukaryota; Fungi; Glomeromycota; Glomeromycetes; Glomerales; Glomeraceae
Description: SSU rRNA
Rfam family: Eukaryotic small subunit ribosomal RNA
Source: RNAcentral